Long non-coding RNA from Poecilia latipinna (sailfin molly), 770 nucleotides. RefSeq lists it as uncharacterized. The record is from RefSeq and is a predicted model, not a curated record. The transcript has 2 exons. Lineage: Eukaryota; Metazoa; Chordata; Actinopteri; Cyprinodontiformes; Poeciliidae.
CGGAGAGCCGACCAGUUAGACAACAACAAACAUUAUCAGUCAGUCUGGAGAUCAGAUGUUAAAGAAAUGAAACUAGAAAUGUGAUCCUGUUAGUUUUAUGGUUUUUGUCUUUAAAGGGAGAAAUAUAGAAAUCUCUUCCUCUGAGGAACUUUGUCUUCCAUCAAUUCAAUGAUUUUUGUAUGUUUUGUUGCCGUACAUGAGUUCAGACAUGGAAUCUGAUCAGAGACCAAAUCAGGAUUUAAGUUUUAAGUUCAUCUUUUCUCUGGACGCAUCGUUUCCGUUUGGACAGUUUCUCCCUCUGGUUCUGGAUGCUGGCCAGCUGGGAUGAUUUCCAGUUGCUAUAUGGUGUAACCGUGGCAACAAGAUAUUGUUUUUCCAACAGAGCAGGUGAUUAGCAUCUCAGAAGCUCAAAUAACAUCUGAACUUUGACCCCAAAUCCCAGAGCUUCAUGGAUGCAGAGAAGAGACGGAAAGAGUUCAAAGGUCAACGUCUCUCCAACCAAACAGCCUGACAGAUUUAAAGAGGAGCAGCAAAAGCAAAAGAGGUGGAUUAGCACAGCUAUCUAGCAACUGAUGAUGUCAUCCAGGACUUGUUACUGUGGAAUAUCAGAUAUUGAGCUGUUAGCAACAGUCUUCAGUCAGAGGCCUCUUCAGACAAACUGCGAGACUGACUGCUACUGGACUCGACUGUUUGAAGGUGUUUGGAGGAUCUGAGUCACAAAAACAUUUAAUUGAUUCACCUGCAGGAUAAAUAAAGGAGUUUUGAACUGA